This 312-nucleotide long non-coding RNA is filed under the name Mytilus galloprovincialis (Mediterranean mussel). The record is from RNAcentral. Lineage: Eukaryota; Metazoa; Mollusca; Bivalvia; Mytilida; Mytilidae.
AACCGUUUUGUCAGAAAAAAUACACUGGUUAUAUAGCAGUUUGACAAACACCAAUUUUGAUCAUUGAGAAGCUUAAUAUUCCCUUUACAACACAACGUAAUUAAAACGUUAAGCUGACUUUACAGAGUUAUCUCCCUGUAGUGUUAGGUACCACCUUAAAGGGCCUUUUUCAACAAGAAGCGGGUCAAGAUACAUUUUCAUCAGUUUGUAUAAGGGUUUGGAGUGGGAUUUACAUAAUAAUGGACAAACCGUGCAGAAUAAAGGAUAAAAUAUAAAAUAUAAAGAAUUUAGAAAAAUAGGGGGAAAAAGAAU